CGGCAUGCCUAAUACAUGCAAGUCGAACGGUAACAGGUCGCUGUGAUCCCUUCGGGGUGAACUUGAUGCUGACGAGUGGCGGACGGGUGAGGUAAUGCUUGGGAAUCUGCCCAGUAGUCGGGGGACAACACGGGGAAACUCGUGCUAAUACCGCAUACGUCCCCUUGUUUGGUUACAAGGGGAGAAAGUGGGGGAUCUUCGGACCUCACGCUAUUGGAUGAGCCCAAGUCGGAUUAGCUUGUUGGUAGGGUAACGGCUUACCAAGGCGACGAUCCGUAGCUGGUCUGAGAGGACGAUCAGCCACACUGGGACUGAGACACGGCCCAGACUCCUACGGGAGGCAGCAGUAGGGAAUAUUGGACAAUGGGCGCAAGCCUGAUCCAGCAAUGCCGCGUGUGUGAAGAAGGCCUGCGGGUUGUAAAGCACUUUCAGUAGAGAAGAAAGCCUCGGGUUAAUACCCCGGAGUCUUGACGUAACCUACAGAAGAAGCACCGGCUAACUCCGUG
Molecule: ribosomal RNA, 506 nt
Filed under: uncultured bacterium
Lineage: Bacteria
Description: bacterial SSU rRNA
Rfam family: Bacterial small subunit ribosomal RNA
Source: RNAcentral